This 795-nucleotide ribosomal RNA is filed under the name uncultured marine bacterium. Its description in RNAcentral is "bacterial SSU rRNA". It matches the Rfam family "Bacterial small subunit ribosomal RNA", at positions 53 to 844 of the family's 1533-position model. The record is from RNAcentral.
ACAUGCAAGUCGAGGGGCAGCAUAAAUUACUUGUAAUUUGAUGGCGACCGGCGAACGGGUGCGUAACGCGUAUGCAACUUACCUUUUACUAGAGAAUAGCCAAGAGAAAUUUUGAUUAAUGCUCUAUACACUUACUAACUUUCAUGAGUUUGUAAGAAAAGCUCCGGCGGUAAAAGAUGGGCAUGCGUCCUAUUAGCUUGUAGGUGAGGUAACGGCUCACCUAAGCUCCGAUAGGUAGGGGUCCUGAGAGGGAGACCCCCCACACUGGUACUGAGACACGGACCAGACUUCUACGGAAGGCAGCAGUAAGGAAUAUUGGACAAUGGAGGAAACUCUGAUCCAGCCAUGCCGCGUGAAGGAUGACGGCCUUAUGGGUUGUAAACUUCUUUUAUACAGGAAUAAACCUAUCCACGUGUGGAUAGCUGAAGGUACUGUAAGAAUAAGGAUCGGCUAACUCCGUGCCAGCAGCCGCGGUAAUACGGAGGAUCCAAGCGUUAUCCGGAAUUAUUGGGUUUAAAGGGUCCGCAGGCUGUUUGUUAAGUCAGAGGUGAAAUCCUACCGCUCAACGGUAGAACUGCCUUUGAUACUGGCAAACUUGAGUUAUUGUGAAGUAGUUAGAAUGUGUAGUGUAGCGGUGAAAUGCAUAGAUAUUAGAAAGAAUACCAAUUGCGAAGGCAGCUUUCUGGAUCAUUACUGACACUGAGGAACGAAAGCAUGGGUAGCGAAGAGGAUUAGAUACCCUCGUAGUCCAUGCCGUAAACGAUGUGUGUUAGACGUUGGAAAUUUAUUUUCAGU